Molecule: long non-coding RNA, 662 nt
Organism: Leptidea sinapis
Lineage: Eukaryota; Metazoa; Arthropoda; Insecta; Lepidoptera; Pieridae
Exons: 2
Source: RefSeq, a predicted model, not a curated record
GCGGACACACACUUUAGCACCAAGAGGAGACCUUCCUAGAGGAUUAGCAGGGGUCCCCAGCUGCAGAACCUCAGGAAAUAUCCCUUGGAGGGGCGGAGACAAGAAGUUGGCAGCGAUGAAUUAAAAUUGAUGGAAGAAGAUCCAUGGUUACCUAUAUCAGAGCUAGCGGCUGAAACUGUGAAAAUCUUUGAUAAAUGGGUGCCCCAUGAGUUGCCUGGAUCAUACAAACAAAUAUGCUUCGACGCCUGUGUUACAUUACUGUCAGCCAUUGCAAACCUUAUUGGCAAAAACUAGCCACUAAUCAACCAAGAAUGUUUCAGUCGAGCCCAUCCCUUAUACUUUAUCCUCCGUACGACAGCCGGCUAAUUUAGAAGUGUGAGUAGAAUGCAUAAUAUAUUACCACUGUUUUCCAAACUUGAACAAUCUUCUGCAAGAAGAAAGGUUUAAUUCCAAUGAGGCAAUUUAAAUUCAAAUAGAAACUCACCCUUGAACAUUUUAUUCAUUCUCGGUCCCAUACCAAUUUUAUCAGUCUCGACUGAAAAAUCUUUUUUUUUUGCUAUUCCGUCAUCUCAUGGCUUGUGUCUCGUUUCCUUGAUAUUUAUAUGUCAACUAAGGUUUGAAAAUGUGAUAAUACACUAGUAAAUAUUUACUAUACAUACUUA